RNAcentral lists this unclassified non-coding RNA (335 nucleotides) under Hevea brasiliensis (rubber tree). Lineage: Eukaryota; Viridiplantae; Streptophyta; Magnoliopsida; Malpighiales; Euphorbiaceae. The record is from RNAcentral.
UUUCCCUCAAAACGCGGCUUCAAAUUCAGGGAUUUGUGCAGCGUCAAAGAGAAAGAAUGUCAAGGAAAGCGACAGGGUACCUGAGGUUUGUCACUGGACCAGUGGAUGAAUUGGAGUAGAGGAGUUCAACUAAGGAUUCUGGGCUUCAAUCAGGAAAUGAUAGUGAGUCUGGAGAAGAGCAAUCAUCCUUCUUUUGGGUAUACGCAUAGAGUCAAUUACCAGGAGAUUUGCUAGUCAAGACAUUUGGUGGGAGGAAAGUUCUUGAAAUUGGGAUGUUGACUCAGUCAUUGGCAACAGCUCUUCUUCCUUUGUGCCUGGACUUGUCUUGUCAAGGA